RNAcentral lists this ribosomal RNA (505 nucleotides) under uncultured bacterium. Its description in RNAcentral is "partial 16S ribosomal RNA". It matches the Rfam family "Bacterial small subunit ribosomal RNA", at positions 28 to 507 of the family's 1533-position model. The record is from RNAcentral.
GACGAACGCUGGCGGCGUGCCUAAUACAUGCAAGUAGAACGCACAGUUUAUACCGUAGCUUGCUACACCAUAGACUGUGAGUUGCGAACGGGUGAGUAACGCGUAGGUAACCUGCCUGGUAGCGGGGGAUAACUAUUGGAAACGAUAGCUAAUACCGCAUAAUAUUAAUUAUUGCAUGAUAAUUAAUUGAAAGGUGCAAUUGCACCACUACCAGAUGGACCUGCGUUGUAUUAGCUAGUAGGUGAGGUAACGGCUCACCUAGGCGGCGAUACAUAGCCGACCUGAGAGGGUGAUCGGCCACACUGGGACUGAGACACGGCCCAGACUCCUACGGGAGGCAGCAGUAGGGAAUCUUCGGCAAUGGACGAAAGUCUGACCGAGCAACGCCACGUGAGUGAAGAAGGUUUUCGGAUCGUAAAGCUCUGUUGUAAGAGAAGAACGGGUGUGAGAGUGGAAAGUUCACACUGUGACGGUAUCUUACCAGAAAGGGACGGCUAACUACGUG